AGGUCAGUAGCUCGAAUUGGUAGAGCAGGGGCCUCCAAAGCCCAAGGUUGCCGGUUCGAAUCCGGCCUGGCCUGCCA
This 77-nucleotide transfer RNA is filed under the name Bdellovibrionales bacterium. RNAcentral describes it as "tRNA-Trp". It matches the Rfam family "tRNA". From Rfam's summary of the family: Transfer RNA (tRNA) molecules are approximately 80 nucleotides in length. Their secondary structure includes four short double-helical elements and three loops (D, anti-codon, and T loops). RNAcentral also lists the same sequence under 1 other name. The record is from RNAcentral. Lineage: Bacteria; Pseudomonadati; Bdellovibrionota; Bdellovibrionia; Bdellovibrionales.